ACGAGGAGGAGAGGCUGUGAGCGGAGAGGAAGGGGUUUCCCCAAAACAUCUGGGGCUCUGUACGGCCAAGAGCCCCGUCCCACUGACAGCUGUGAGCACAGCUCAGAACUGCCGAAACCCCGAGCCCUGAAGUGACAUCCUCGUGUGCGUUUCGUAAUGUAAAAAGCACCACAGGCCAUGGUUCUGGCAUGGUGGGGACGCGGGGACCCUUCCUCCUCAGAAAAGUUAGAGCCAGAUGUGGCACACUCUGGGUAAGUGAGGCAAACAAGUACGACAUAAAAGGACUAAGCCCGAGGCAGGAAGGCCGGGGCCACAGUGCUCACAGAGCCAGGGCUAGGCGGGGGCCGCAGGAGCUGGAGUUCCUAGACCAGCAGGCCAGGGGACAGGAGCCCUAGGGAGAGGCCCCGCAGCCACACAGACGUACAGAUGCGAAGCGUUAGUGUACAGCCCACAGCUCUGCUUUCCCCCACCAGCGCCCCCAAGGAGGGUGGUAGAGGUCCGGGGGCAGAAGACCCCCUGCUCCCAUCUCAACAGGGCCAGAGCAAGCCCUCUGGGUAGGACAUUUCCCCCGGUGGGGCCCCAAGUUCUCCUCAAGCACGACCUUACACAACAUCACACAUCUGAGGAAGGGGCGGAGCAAAACCCUACGGAACCAGACACCCAAAGAUCGGCCGCAUCAGCUGCACCCAGCACGCACAUCUCUGCCCAGCAGGCGCCGUCAGUGUUUGCCGGAUGAGCAACUUUGCCAGAUGUCCUCGGGAAGGACCCAGGAGCAGCGGGGAAAAUCGGAGUCUUUUCGUGCCUUCUGUCAGAUGCUCUGACCUCACUAGGCGGGAGCACAUUUGAGAAGAUCAGAACAGAAACCCUCGUCAGCUGGGGGCAGCACCUGGGCACAGGAGGUAACACGAGGGACAUCUCCCCAAGGACAGACUGGGCGGGGGUGGGGAGCGGACUCCAUGCGACACCAAGAGGCCUCAGCCGCGGCCUCUCCUGAGCCCCUUGGGAGUUCACACAGGAGGGGACACCACUGCCAGGGGAUACUGCGUGACACAGGGCCAGGGUCAGAGGUCAGGAGCCCAAAGACGGGAACCACAGGCUUGUGCAAUUACAAAAUGCUUUUAUUUCAGUUCUGUAACACUUAGGUGUGCCUCAGAUUUUACUGAGGGUUUGGUCUUUCUGCACUGAAUUACAUCUUUUUUUUUUUCCGGUACCGGAAACUGAACUCAGGACUUAGUGCUUGGCAGACAGGCGCUGAGCCACUGCAUCCCGGCCCUCAAUUACAUCUUGUAACAGAGAUACGAAUUAGCAUCAACUGAUCAAGUGUCGCCAGUACUCAUGAUGUACAUUCUCUUGGAUUAUAUAUCUUAUCGUUACUUUUUAUUUAACUUUUACAAUUAUUUUUAAAGCUCCUUUAUAUAGAAAAUAUAUAUUCCUUUAGCAGAUCGAGACAAGAAAUUUUCAAUCAAUAUACUGAGAAAUAACAAAUAUAUUUAUACCAAAACAAAAGUGAUUCUGUUAAACUAUUCCCCUACAAUAAAAAUAAAAUAUCCAAUUAUAGACUAAUGAGUAGUUUCCACAACAAUAAGUAACUUUUGUAUUGUUCUUUUGACUAACAAGACAUUCAAACAAACAGUAGCAAUUUCAAGGUUUAAAAAAAUUGUGAUGAUUCCCCCACCAAAACACUACAGUAGGAAAUGCAAUUUCAACAUGUCAACUCUAGAAAAACAUUCCAAAAAAAUAUUUUUGAAAUUCUUUGUAUAAAAUGAAUUUGGUACAUCAUCAGUAUGAAGUAAACAUCUUUUACAAAAUAAAUGCAGGUAUCAUUGAUAUGCGAUCUGAAAGUAUCAGUGUGAAGAAAAAUACUUCAACGAGGUAAAGGCAAAUAAGAUCUCUCUAGUGCUUUCAGAUACUUACUUGUUAUCCCUAAAAUGAUAAUUAUUGUCCUAAAGGUGCAAAUCUUAUCACUCGGUGACCUAUAGGCUAUUUGACCAUUCAUCUCCUUUAAAUAAAACACCAGACAGGUUAUAACAUACACUGUAAAAGCAGCUAUGAAAGUACAUAUACUUGAGUGAGACAUACUAGUUUAAAUAUCCGCUAUCUUCCUAAGGCAGAGAUCUCAGAACGCUGUUUGGUCAUCUCGAUUAGGUGCUGAUGAAUUUGGUCAAGAGUACCCACAGUCAUAUUGGCCUCGGGCAGAUGCGAGGAUCGGCUGGAACA
Molecule: long non-coding RNA, 2217 nt
Organism: Chinchilla lanigera (long-tailed chinchilla)
Lineage: Eukaryota; Metazoa; Chordata; Mammalia; Rodentia; Chinchillidae
Exons: 2
Source: RefSeq, a predicted model, not a curated record